GCCCGGGUGGUGGAACGGUAGACACAGGGGACUUAAAAUCCUCUGCCGAUGAGGCGUGCGGGUUCGAAUCCCGCCCCGGGCA
RNAcentral lists this transfer RNA (82 nucleotides) under Fimbriimonas ginsengisoli Gsoil 348. RNAcentral describes it as "tRNA-Leu (TAA) (tRNA-Leu-TAA-1-1)". It matches the Rfam family "tRNA". Rfam says of the family: Transfer RNA (tRNA) molecules are approximately 80 nucleotides in length. Their secondary structure includes four short double-helical elements and three loops (D, anti-codon, and T loops). Further hydrogen bonds mediate the characteristic L-shaped molecular structure. tRNAs have two regions of fundamental functional importance: the anti-codon, which is responsible for specific mRNA codon recognition, and the 3' end, to which the tRNAs corresponding amino acid is attached (by aminoacyl-tRNA synthetases). tRNAs cope with the degeneracy of the genetic code in two manners: having more than one tRNA (with a specific anti-codon) for a particular amino acid; and 'wobble' base-pairing, i.e. permitting non-standard base-pairing at the 3rd anti-codon position. The record is from Rfam by way of RNAcentral. Lineage: Bacteria; Bacillati; Armatimonadota; Fimbriimonadia; Fimbriimonadales; Fimbriimonadaceae.